UUAAUCCUAAAGUGUUCGUUAAAUAAAUCGUUUUGACCUAACAGCUAUACAUUGGGAGUUCCUUAUUUUUAUAUGGAUGUUGUUAUCCUUAUAAUGUUUAUGAUGCAUUGUUCGUGAUACCAAUAAGUAUAAAAUAGAACACCCACCUGCAUUAAGCGGGCUCAAAAUGUAUGUUGGACGGCAUUGUUGGGAUUAAU
Molecule: non-coding RNA, 197 nt
Filed under: Pseudogracilibacillus auburnensis
Lineage: Bacteria; Bacillati; Bacillota; Bacilli; Caryophanales; Bacillaceae
Description: 6S / SsrS RNA
Rfam family: 6S / SsrS RNA
About the family: E. coli 6S RNA was the first non coding RNA to be sequenced, but its function was unknown until recently. It consists of 184 nucleotides that fold into an extended hairpin structure with a large single-stranded internal bulge.
Source: Rfam by way of RNAcentral